Non-coding RNA from Passer domesticus (house sparrow), 477 nucleotides. Lineage: Eukaryota; Metazoa; Chordata; Aves; Passeriformes; Passeridae. The record is from the annotation of a RefSeq genome assembly.
AUGGGGAUGAGGAGAUGGAUCUGGGCGUGGCGGGUGUGUGGGAUCCACCUGGGAGGGGCUCCGGCCGUGACCCUGCUGGAGUCCGGGGGGGACCUCCAGCCCCCCGGGGGGUCCCUGCGCCUCCUCUGCCGAGGGUCCGGGUUCGAUUUUGGCAGUUUCACCAUGUACUGGGUUCGCCAGAGACCCGGGCAGGCGCUGGAGUGGAUCGCAGGGAUCAGGAACAAUGGAGCUUACACCUACUACGCGCCGUCGGUCAAGGGCCGGUUCACGAUCUCCAGGGACAACGGGCAGAGCUCGGUGACGCUGACCAUGAACAACCUCAAGGACGAGGAUUCCGGAUCCUAUUUCUGCGCCAAGGGUGCUUAUGCUGGUACUUGGGUGCUGCUGCUUAUGUUGAAGCCUGGAUCGUUCCCCCAAACCUCAGCCCUUGACCCUUUGUCUCACGUCUCCCCCAUUUUCACCAAUGCUGAGCGCUGA